Molecule: long non-coding RNA, 3777 nt
Organism: Electrophorus electricus (electric eel)
Lineage: Eukaryota; Metazoa; Chordata; Actinopteri; Gymnotiformes; Gymnotidae
Source: Ensembl
UUUGGUUGUGAUGGUAAGACAUGGAUGAGAUUUUCAGACUUUGCAACAGUGAAGACGAGACGCUAAGCGAGACACGCCACACCUUUUUGACAACUUUACUUGGGUUACUUAUAAGCGUCCGGAUACUUUCUUAACGAUUCGCCGUUACGUGGAAUAACUCUGCAGGUUUCCCCACGUGUGGGAUGGCUUUUGAAGAUCCUUGAAUUUCUGUUAAGUGAGCAAAAUUAGUAUUUUUCACGGCAUAUUUCAACAUUGUAAAAGGAACUAUCAGAAAUGGAUCAACAGGCAAGUGGAGGAGAAGAUCCAAAUAAGCCUUCCAAAAAGAAAUCAAACGAGGAUGAGAGUAAAAACAAGAAGCUGAACAUACAUAUAAAAACAUUGGCUGACGACAUGCGUGACAGAAUUACAAGUUUCCGAAAGCAAGGCACGAAGAAGGAGAAGCCGGUUAUCCAACACCCAACUGACCCUAACGCCACCCAGGCAGAGCUGCCUGUGCCCCAGCCACUCUUUGAUGAGCGCUCCUUGAACCUCUCCGAAAAAGAGAUUGUUGACCUCUUUGAGAAGAUGAUGGAGGAUAUGAACCUAAAUGAGGACCGCAAGGCCCCCCUGCGUGGGAAGGACCUGAGCACCAAGCGAGAGAUGGUGGUCCAGUACAUCUCUGCCACAGCCAAAUCUGGUGGGCUAAGGAACAGCAAGCAUGAGUGUACGCUGUCGUCACAGGAAUACGUACAUGAGCUGCGCUCCGGAAUCGCUGAGGAGAAGCUCCUCAACUGCCUGGAGUCUCUGCGUGUCUCCCUGACCAGCAACCCCGUCAGCUGGGUGAAUAACUUCGGCCACGAGGGUCUCGGCCUGCUCCUGGACGCCUUGGAGAAGCUUCUCGACAAGAAACAACAAGAGAGCAUUGACAAGAAGAACCAACACAAACUCAUCCAGUGUCUCAAAGCCUUUAUGAACAAUAAGUAUGGCCUGCAAAAGAUACUUGGCGACGAGCGAAGCCUCCUUCUUCUGGCAAGGGCCAUCGAUCCCAAGCAGCCGAAUAUGAUGACGGAGAUUGUGAAGAUUCUGUCAGCUGUCUGUAUUAUUGGAGAGGAGAACAUCCUGGAUAAGAUCCUGGCAGCCAUGACCAUCGCAGCCGAGAGGAAUAACAAGGAGCGAUUUGCUCAGAUCGUAGAGGGGCUGGAGAACCACGACGCCCAGCAGCUUCAGGCGGCCUGCAUGCAGCUGAUCAACGCCCUGGUCACCUCCCCGGAUGACCUGGACUUCAGGAUACAUCUGCGGAAUGAGCUCCUGCGCUGCGGCUUGAAGAAGAUCCUGCCCGAGCUGAAAGAGACAGAAGAGUUGGACAUACAGUUGAAGGUGUUCAAUGAGAACAAGGAGGAGGACUCUAUUGAGCUGUCUCACCGGCUCGAUGACAUCCGUGUAUACCAUCUUCUGUCCAACAUGGUGAAAGACACAACCUCUGAGCCUUACUUCCUGUCAGUUCUCCAGCACCUGCUGCUCAUUAGGAAUGACUACUACAUCAGGCCUCAGUACUACAAGGUGAUCGAGGAGUGCGUGUCCCAGAUUGUGCUACACCGGAGUGGGAUGGACCCGGACUUUGGCUACCGGGAGAGGCUGGAUGUAGACUUCACUGUCCUUAUCGACCAAUGCGUGGAUAAGGCCAAGGUUGAGGAGAGUGAACAGAGAGCAACUGAAUUCUCCAAAAAGUUCGACGAGGAGUUCAGCGCACGACAGGAGGCGCAGGCCGAGCUGCAGAAACAGGAGGAGAAAAUCAAAGAGCUUGAGGUACAGAUCAGUACCCUGCGGAGCCAGGUAAGAUCACACCUACUGCUGAUCGACACACACACACACACACACACACACACACACACACACACACACACACACACACACCUACUGCUCACCCUCUCUGCCUCACCAGUCCUAGAGGACCACACAUCUGUCCUCGCCUAUAUCUCCAACACCUCCUGCACGGGACUAGGUAACCAGAUACCGGACCCGGCACCUUCAAUGCCGGGGAGCGUUUUCGGGCCUUUUGUGGAUUUUUCUCACCCUUCCUUCUCCUUCCAGGUGGCUGCUGGUCCUGGGUUGCCUGCUCCACCACCACCCCCUCCACCCCCACCUCCACCUGGGGCAGGGCCGCCUCCACCCCCUCCCUGUCCAGCGAUGAUGCCGCCGCCUCCGCCUCCGCCCGGCUGCGGUCCUCCUCCACCGCCCCCUCCGCCCGGCUGCGGUCCUCCUCCACCGCCCCCUCCGCCUGGCGGAGGUCCUCCGCUUCCUCCUCCCUUCCCUGGGGCGGUGGCUGUCCCCCCACCUCCACCUGUGAUCAAACUGCCUUAUGGCCUGGAGCCAAAAAAGACCUACAAACCUGACGCGGUCAUGAAGAGGGUCAACUGGUCGAAGAUAGUGCCUCAGGAGAUGGCAGAGAAUUGCUUUUGGAUCAAAGUCAAAGAGGAGAAGUUUGAGAACCCGGACCUGUUCGCCCAGCUCUCGCUCUUCUUCUCGUCCAAGUCCAGAGUGAAAAAGGACGUGGAGGAAACAGAUGACAGAAUGACACAAUUUAAGAAAAAAGCGAAAGAGCUGCGAAUCCUAGACGCCAAGACAGCCCAGAAUCUGUCAAUUUUCCUCGGAUCAUUCCGGCUGCGUUAUGAAGAGAUCCGGGACAUCGUGCUGGAGGUGGAUGAGGAACGGCUGAGCGAGGCACUGAUCCAGAAUCUGAUCAAGAACCUCCCUGAACAGAAGGAGCUGAGUGCUCUGGCUGAACUGAAGGGCGAGUAUGAGGAGCUGUGCGAGUCUGAGCGGUUUGGCAUUGUGAUGAGCUCAGUGAAGCUGCUACGCCCCCGUCUGAACGGCAUCCUCUUCAAGCUGACGUUCGAGGAGCAGGUGAACAACAUCCGGCCGGACAUCAUGAACGUCACCUUCGCGUGUGAGGAGGUGAAGAAGAGCGAGGGCUUCACCAAGCUGCUGGAGCUGAUCCUGCUGGUGGGGAACUACAUGAACGCCGGCUCCAGAAACGCCCAGACCUUCGGCUUCAACAUCAGCUUCCUCUGCAAGCUUCGGGAUACGAAGUCGAUGGACCAGAAUACAACACUUCUGCACUUCCUGGCUGAGAAGUGUGAGGAGAAGUAUCCCGAGAUCCUGAAGUUCCCUGAUGAGCUGCAGCAUGUAGAGAACGCCAGCAAAAUGUCUGCCCAGAUCCUCAAAGCCAGUUUGGACACGAUGGAGCGUCACAUCCAGAGGCUGGAGAAUGACAUCCAGAACUUCCCCAAGACUGAGGACAAACAGGAUAAGUUUGUGGAAAAAAUGUCCAUAUCCUUCACAUGCUACUCCCGCGAGCAGUACGAGAAGCUCUCUACCAUGCACAAGAACAUGCAGAAGCUCUACGAGAGUCUGGGGAGCUACUUCGCCUUCGACCCCCACACCAUCAGCAUCGAGGACUUUUUCGGGGACCUGGCCAACUUCCGCACCCUCUUCAUGGACGCCAUGAAGGAAAAUCACAAAAAGAGGGAGAUGGAGGAGAAAGUGAAAAGGGCCAAGAUGGCAAAGGAGAAAGCCGAGCGUGAAAAGCAGGAGCGUCAGCAGAAGAAGAAGCAGCUGAUCGACAUGAACAAAGAAGGAGAUGAGACAGGUGUGAUGGACAGCCUGAUGGAGGCGCUGCAGUCUGGCGCGGCCUUCCGUGACCGCAGGAAACGAACCCCACGCACUGGUGAGAUUCCCCAAAUGAACCCCACACACAGGGGAAGCAAAACAGGACACCUGGUGGAGGUGCCAUGCUGA